This 1075-nucleotide long non-coding RNA is filed under the name Parus major (Great Tit). Its description in RNAcentral is "lncRNA (ENSPMJG00000016569.1)". Lineage: Eukaryota; Metazoa; Chordata; Aves; Passeriformes; Paridae. The record is from RNAcentral.
GGAGAAUGCUCUGGGAGAGAAGCAUCCCUGGAGACAGCCUUCCUUUCAGCAGCACAUGGCAAAGCUCUGAGUUUUCCCCUUCAGUGGGAGGCACAGGAGAUAUUUUGGACUGCAAGCUGUGGCUUUAAAAAACCCACCCAGCAGUGAUUUGAGGUUUUGUUCCUGAAGCCUUCCUGACUUUGAACAUAAAUUGCGUCUGUUUUGGUAAGCAGGCUCCCAGCAAGCCAGACCUGUUCCUGGGAUUACUGUAACCACAGGUAUAGCUGUUUCUUUUCCACAUGGGAUGACUUAGGCCCCUGUUCUCUGCCAUUGUGUGGUUGGAUUUUACCUUCAUCCACGUCGUGGCAUUUUGGAAAGAGCUGCUUGUUUUACAGAGCAGCUGUGUUGUCUUAAUGCAGCUGUAAUGUGUGUUUGUCUUGGGGCACAGCAGGACUAGGAAAAGGUUUUAUUAGAUCAUUCCCAAGUCCCAAUAAUCUCUGAGUGUCUCUCAGAUCUGUGGCUGUCAGCUGUGCUGCUCUCGCUCCGUGGGACGGGGUUGGAAGCUGAAGAUGGGAAAUCACUUGCGUGUGAUCCUUUAUCUGCUUCAUCUUGGAGUUACCGCUCCCCCCGUGGCUGUUUGGAGCAGCCAGAGAGGACUUAAUUCUUGUAUCCCAGACCUUAAACCACAGCCUAACAGGCUCCAAGGGAUCCUCCCUGCCUGGGGCAUUGUUUGUGGGACUGCUGGUGGCUCUGCAGCCUGGAUCCCAAGGAGCAUUCCCAUCCCAUCACCACUGCCUGCCAACAUCGAGAUCACGGCCACUCAGGGAGUUGGACAUCAUGGAGCUGGACACACACCAGGGUAGGUAAUGGAUGUGAUCCCCAAAAUUGGAAAAGCCAGCGUGAAAACUCUGACUCAGCCUGAAGGCUCUGCACUAGAGGAGGGAGACUUUCCCAACCAGAGGCAAACCAGGCAAGCUGUAUUUUCUGCUUCAUCCCAGAGAGCUGCUCCUGGCCUGGCUUGGAGCAGUGUCCUCACUCUGCUUCUCCCUCUGUGCCAGCUCAUGUCUUUGCUAUCCCUGAGCUGCUGCCUGAGCCA